UUUGUUGAAUUGGUUCCUCCAUUUGCUCAUUGAUUCGCUACAACAACCAUGAGUUUCCGCCCGGAUACCAAUAAGUUUAAGCAGGAGAUGCCGCCUCCGGGCGGCUUCCCCAAGGUCGAUGUUAUGGAAAAGAUGCGAUCUCGUGGACCGAGUGGUGCCAUGAUUUGGGGAGUUUCCGUUGCCAUG
Molecule: non-coding RNA, 186 nt
Filed under: Entomoneis paludosa
Lineage: Eukaryota; Bacillariophyta; Bacillariophyceae; Surirellales; Surirellaceae
Source: RNAcentral